GGGGGGUGCAAGCGUUGUUCGGAAUUAUUGGGCGUAAAGCGCGUGUAGGCGGUUUGUUAAGUCUGUUGUGAAAGCCCUGGGCUCAACCCAGGAAGUGCACUGGAUACUGGCAGACUUGAAUACGGGAGAGGGUAGUGGAAUUCCUGGUGUAGGAGUGAAAUCCGUAGAUAUCAGGAGGAACACCGGUGGCGAAGGCGGCUACCUGGACCGAUAUUGACGCUGAGACGCGAAAGCGUGGGUAGCAAACAGGAUUAGAUACCCUGGUAGUCCACGCCGUAAACGAUGAGUACUAGGUGUUGCGGGUAUUGACCCCUGCAGUGCCGCAGCUAACGCAUUAAGUACUCCGCCUGGGAAGUACGGUCGCAAGACUA
Molecule: ribosomal RNA, 371 nt
Filed under: uncultured bacterium
Lineage: Bacteria
Description: bacterial SSU rRNA
Rfam family: Bacterial small subunit ribosomal RNA
Source: RNAcentral